AUGCCUCGCACACACGGCGGCACAUUCCAAGGCGACCAUGGUGGUACGGGAGGUGAUGCUCGACGCGCUGCGCCGCUUGUUACGAUCUCGCUCGAUGAGGCGCACGGCGGCGCGAAGGUCGGCCCUGACCAGGAGCAGGUAGCUCAGCGCUUCCCUAACAUACAGGUAGGGGAAGCGGGUGGUGAGGAAGUUGACAAGACCGUCCAGCGACCUCCGCGCGAGGGUCAACCCAUGGGACCUGUGCCGGCAAAGCGGUAGCUCGAAGACGAAUCUGUCGCUUGUGUCGGUGAUGAUCUUGGAGAGGAUCCACUCCGGCGCCGGCCCCUCCUCGUCGGAUCCAGGCGUCGGUGA
This 351-nucleotide ribosomal RNA is filed under the name Triticum aestivum (bread wheat). RNAcentral describes it as "partial small subunit ribosomal RNA". Lineage: Eukaryota; Viridiplantae; Streptophyta; Magnoliopsida; Poales; Poaceae. The record is from RNAcentral.